RNAcentral lists this transfer RNA (72 nucleotides) under Noturus taylori (Caddo madtom). RNAcentral describes it as "tRNA-Ile". It matches the Rfam family "tRNA". From Rfam's summary of the family: Transfer RNA (tRNA) molecules are approximately 80 nucleotides in length. Lineage: Eukaryota; Metazoa; Chordata; Actinopteri; Siluriformes; Ictaluridae. The record is from RNAcentral.
GGAGCCGUGCCUGAACACCCAAGGACCACUUUGAUAGAGUGAAAAAUGAAGGUUAAAGUCCUUCCCGCUCCU